AGAUUGAACGCUGGCGGCAGGCCUAACACAUGCAAGUCGAGCGGUAGAGAGGUGCUUGCAUCUCUUGAGAGCGGCGGACGGGUGAGUAAUGCCUAGGAAUCUGCCUGGUGGUGGGGGAUAACGUUCGGAAACGGACGCUAAUACCGCAUACGUCCUACGGGAGAAAGCGGGGGGAUCUUCGGACCUCGCGCCAUUAGAUGAGCCUAGGUCGGAUUAGCUAGUUGGUGAGGUAAUGGCUCACCAAGGCGACGAUCCGUAAACUGGUCUGAGAGGAUGAUCAGUCACACUGGAACUGAGACACGGUCCAGACUCCUACGGGAGGCAGCAGUGGGGAAUAUUGGACAAUGGGCGAAAGCCUGAUCCAGCCAUGCCGCGUGUGUGAAGAAGGUCUUCGGAUUGUAAAGCACUUUAAGUUGGGAGGAAGGGUAGUAACCUAAUACGUUGCUACUUUGACGUUACCGACAGAAUAAGCACCGGCUAACUUCGUG
Molecule: ribosomal RNA, 488 nt
Filed under: uncultured bacterium
Lineage: Bacteria
Description: bacterial SSU rRNA
Rfam family: Bacterial small subunit ribosomal RNA
Source: RNAcentral